UACGUAGGGGGCUAGCGUUAUCCGGAAUUACUGGGCGUAAAGGGUGCGUAGGUGGUUUCUUAAGUCAGAGGUGAAAGGCUACGGCUCAACCGUAGUAAGCCUUUGAAACUGGGAAACUUGAGUGCAGGAGAGGAGAGUGGAAUUCCUAGUGUAGCGGUGAAAUGCGCAGAUAUUAGGAGGAACACCAGUUGCGAAGGCGGCUCUCUGGACUGUAACUGACACUGAGGCACGAAAGCGUGGGGAGCAAACAGG
RNAcentral lists this ribosomal RNA (252 nucleotides) under uncultured bacterium. RNAcentral describes it as "partial 16S ribosomal RNA". It matches the Rfam family "Bacterial small subunit ribosomal RNA", at positions 524 to 776 of the family's 1533-position model. The record is from RNAcentral.